GUUUCUGCAUAAAGCUGAAGUCCUGCUGCUGAAAACAAUCGACUUGGCUGUUACGUUUGGUUCGAUGUCAUUAUUGAUGAGAUGUGUGUACCUGUCUGAAGCGCUUGAGGUGAAGUAUAAGGAUGUCUGGCAGCGUCCACAGACUCAGCUUGAUGCUGCCCUGCUGCAGCUGCUUGCAGUGUGGACAUCUCCACGCAUCAUCCGGGGCAAGCUGGAGGUCAGAAAUGCACCUGAUGUGGUCCCACCCCGUUUGGACCGGAUCUGCUCCGGCCUGAACAGCUCAGGCGUCUCGAAAGCGAAGAUGGAGUCACUCUCCUGAAUGAUCUCCAGGUCUUCGUCGUCGUCGCAGAAGGAGCGGUGAAAGCCAUCGAAGUACAUCUCAGUGAGGACGAUCUGCUCAGUGACAGGAGACACAAACAGCGUAAUAACGGCGGUAAAGUGGCCCAAAGGAGGUGGUACCUGUUGGGCGGGAAUCUUGGUCUCCUGAGCCACAGCUUGCCGCAGUCUGGAC
Gambusia affinis (western mosquitofish) is the source of this 511-nucleotide long non-coding RNA. RefSeq lists it as uncharacterized. Lineage: Eukaryota; Metazoa; Chordata; Actinopteri; Cyprinodontiformes; Poeciliidae. The transcript has 4 exons. The record is from RefSeq and is a predicted model, not a curated record.